Molecule: ribosomal RNA, 253 nt
Filed under: uncultured bacterium
Lineage: Bacteria
Description: partial 16S ribosomal RNA
Rfam family: Archaeal small subunit ribosomal RNA
Source: RNAcentral
UACCAGCACCCCGAGUGGUCGGGACGAUUAUUGGGCCUAAAGCAUCCGUAGCCGGUUCUACAAGUCUUCCGUUAAAUCCACCUGCUUAACAGAUGGGCUGCGGAGGAUACUAUAGAGCUAGGAGGCGGGAGAGGCAAGCGGUACUUAGGGGGUAGGGGUAAAAUCCGUUGAUCCAUUGAAGACCACCAGUGGCGAAGGCGGCUUGCCAGAACGCACUCGACGGUGAGGGAUGAAAGCUGGGGGAGCAAACCGG